RNAcentral lists this ribosomal RNA (242 nucleotides) under uncultured bacterium. RNAcentral describes it as "partial 16S ribosomal RNA". It matches the Rfam family "Bacterial small subunit ribosomal RNA", at positions 28 to 249 of the family's 1533-position model. The record is from RNAcentral.
GACGAACGCUGGCGGCGUGCCUAAUACAUGCAAGUCGAACGAAGUUGUUUUAACUGGCGCUUGCACCGACUUAAACAACUGAGUGGCGAACGGGUGAGUAACACGUGGUAACCUGCCCCAAAGUGGGGGAUAACAUUUGGAAACAGAUGCUAAUACCGCAUAACCACAGAAACCUCAUGGUUUCUGUGUCAAAGAUGGUUCCGGCUAUCACUUUGGGAUGGACCCGCGGCGUAUUAGCUUAG